Molecule: ribosomal RNA, 903 nt
Filed under: marine metagenome
Description: bacterial SSU rRNA
Rfam family: Bacterial small subunit ribosomal RNA
Source: RNAcentral
AGAGUUUGAUCCUGGCUCAGGAUGAACGCUAGCGGCAGGCCUAAUACAUGCAAGUCGAGGGGCAGCACGAGUACUUGUACUUGGUGGCGACCGGCGCACGGGUGCGUAACGCGUAUGCAACCUACCUUAUACAGAGGGAUAGCCCAGAGAAAUUUGGAUUAAUACCUCAUAGUAUCAUUUGAAGGCAUCUGAGAAUGAUUAAAGAUUUAUCGGUAUAAGAUGGGCAUGCGUAAGAUUAGUUAGUUGGUGAGGUAACGGCUCACCAAGACUUCGAUCUUUAGGGGUUCUGAGAGGAUGAUCCCCCACACUGGUACUGAGAUACGGACCAGACUUCUACGGGAGGCAGCAGUAGGGAAUAUUGGUCAAUGGGCGAGAGCCUGAACCAGCCAUGCCGCGUGCAGGAAGACGGCCUUCUGGGUUGUAAACUGCUUUUAUAUGGGAAGAAAACGGCCUUGCGAGGCAGAUUGACGGUACCAUAUGAAUAAGCACCGGCUAACUCCGUGCCAGCAGCCGCGGUAAUACGGAGGGUGCAAGCGUUGUCCGGAUUUAUUGGGUUUAAAGGGUACGUAGGCGGCCAAUUAAGUCAGUGGUGAAAGCCAGCAGCUCAACUGUUGAACUGCCAUUGAUACUGAUUGGCUCGAGUUCUGUUAAGGUAGGCGGAAUUGAUGGUGUAGCGGUGAAAUGCAUAGAUACCAUCAGGAACACCGAUUGCGAAGGCAGCUUACUAGGCAGAAACUGACGCUAAUGUACGAAAGCGUGGGGAUCGAACAGGAUUAGAUACCCUGGUAGUCCACGCCGUAAACGAUGCUCACUCGCUGUUGGCGAUACACAGUCAGCGGCCAAGCGAAAGCGUUAAGUGAGCCACCUGGGGAGUACGCUCGCAAGAGUGAAACUCAAAGGAAU